GAGCAGCACUCCUGGAGCUGACUGCAUCCUAUAUCUCACCAGGUGUGCACUUGGCAUUCACUGAGAACGAUGUCCUGUGCACCACAACCACAUGGAGGAUGUGGGGAGCCAUGGUCCUGUGCAGCAAAUCUGUGCCUUCAAAUCUGCUUCAGGUGUUCACAUCGAGACCAUUGCCAGCAUGGACACUGUUGCUCACUUUUCAUCCUGAAGAAGCACCCCAGCUGACUGAUGCCUCUUGGAACUGUAGAACCGUUAGUGCUGGAAAAGAUCACCAAUUCCAACCCCACUCCAUCACCACCGUGCCUAUCACUGCAUCCCUUGGUGCCACAUCUCCACAUUUCUGUAACACCUCCAGGGAUGAUGACCCCACCACUCCCCGUGCAGCCCGUGCCACUGCACCAUCAUUCAUUUAGAGAAGAAAUAUUUCCUAAUAUCCAGCUCUUCAAGACCAGAGUGGUGUUACUUGUUAUCAAACUGGACAGAAGGGACCUGAGCCAGGAGUGGGCAGUGAUGCCAUCUUUCUCGCAUGUCGGCGCUCACCCCGAGCCUCUU
Lagopus leucura (white-tailed ptarmigan) is the source of this 552-nucleotide long non-coding RNA. RefSeq lists it as uncharacterized. NCBI's taxonomy places the organism in Eukaryota, Metazoa, Chordata, Aves, Galliformes, Phasianidae. The record is from RefSeq and is a predicted model, not a curated record. The transcript has 3 exons.